Molecule: long non-coding RNA, 511 nt
Organism: Gossypium arboreum
Lineage: Eukaryota; Viridiplantae; Streptophyta; Magnoliopsida; Malvales; Malvaceae
Exons: 2
Source: RefSeq, a predicted model, not a curated record
AUCAGUGCAGAGAAAAAAAAGGGGAGAGGAAUAAAUCCCUCCGGCCUGGACGAUUUCCGGUCGCCAGAUUGAUGCCCAUCCGUAGCCGGCGUCCGCCGUGCACGGCGGUCGAAGGUGCAAAAGUGAUGCUAAAUCGAUUCCCCUGGUACUUCUCUCUCCGGAUUCGUGUUUUACACAAGCAAAAAGCCCCUUCGGUGGUCGAAUCGAGCCACGGAAACCAUUCGGCUUCUGGCUUCUCUGAACCUUGAGAAGGUACCAGUGGCGGUGGAUGUGACCCGAGUUAGUGGCUGGUGCUGCAGAGUCGUCAGAGGCAAAUGGGGGGCAAAGGGGAGUUGGCCGAACGGCUAGGGUUUCCUUUUUUCUGAUUUUUUUAUUGGGCUAGGGCUCUUUUGGGCUUGGGGUAUUUGGGCUGUAAUUUAAUGGGUUUAGUGGGUUAUUUGGGCCCGGGCAAAAUGGGCUUGUACAGUAUUGAUUAAAAUCUCAUGAAAGUUGCAUCAUCACGUUUGGUUCA